RNAcentral lists this ribosomal RNA (600 nucleotides) under Canthyporus nebulosus. RNAcentral describes it as "SSU rRNA". It matches the Rfam family "Eukaryotic small subunit ribosomal RNA", at positions 32 to 600 of the family's 1831-position model. The record is from RNAcentral. Lineage: Eukaryota; Metazoa; Arthropoda; Insecta; Coleoptera; Dytiscidae. RNAcentral also lists the same sequence under 1 other name.
UUGUCUCAAAGAUUAAGCCAUGCAUGUCUCAGUACGAGCCGCAUUAAGGUGAAACCGCGAAAGGCUCAUUAAAUCAGUUAUGGUUCCUUAGAUCGUACCCACACUUACUUGGAUAACUGUGGUAAUUCUAGAGCUAAUACAUGCAAACAGAGCUCCGACCGGAGACGGGAGGAGUGCUUUUAUUAGAUCAAAACCAAUCGGCGGCGGGCGCGCUCGCGCGCGUCCGUUCGCCGCUCAACCUGGUGACUCUGAAUAACUUUCCGCUGAUCGCACGGUCUCGCACCGGCGACGCAUCUUUCAAAUGUCUGCCUUAUCAACUGUCGAUGGUAGGUUCUGCGCCUACCAUGGUCGUUACGGGUAACGGGGAAUCAGGGUUCGAUUCCGGAGAGGGAGCCUGAGAAACGGCUACCACAUCCAAGGAAGGCAGCAGGCGCGCAAAUUACCCACUCCCGGCACGGGGAGGUAGUGACGAAAAAUAACGAUACGGGACUCAUCCGAGGCCCCGUAAUCGGAAUGAGUACACUUUAAAUCCUUUAACGAGGAUCCAUUGGAGGGUAAGUCUGGUGCCAGCAGCCGCGGUAAUUCCAGCUCCAAUAGCGU